Molecule: long non-coding RNA, 241 nt
Organism: Haplochromis burtoni (Burton's mouthbrooder)
Lineage: Eukaryota; Metazoa; Chordata; Actinopteri; Cichliformes; Cichlidae
Exons: 3
Source: RefSeq, a predicted model, not a curated record
GAAAAGUUAGGGAUUUAAGCAUGUUUUGAAUGAAAACAUCAGCAUAUGAACACAAAACUGAAGAGACACUGCAACCGUAUGAAAGCAGACCACUAUUUAGUGACAUUUCGACGUUUCCCUGAGGAUUAACUGCUCUGUAAUUUACCAAGAACUCAAUCAAAAUGAGUGCAAGUGGAGACGGACCACAAAAUAACCAAAACGGCCAACAGGUUAACCCACAAAGGUUCCCAAAUGGAGAUCA